GAUAUUGUAGUUGUGAUACUUUCUCUUUUAGUUGAGAUUUUGGAAUGUGUACCCUUGUUCUAUUGUUGAUAAUUGUAUUAAUUUCUACUAUGCUUUGAUAUCAGGAUAGGAUCCUUUUAUGUUUUACUCCUAUCGACUUGUUUCUUGUAGACGCCUUAUAUACUGUAGGUAUAUGGCGGGUUUGUGCACGUACCGGAUAUGCUUCCGCUGGUACCCGGGCGUGACAGAUUAUAGUGGUAUCAGAGCCUAGGGUUGAGUCUUAGUAGACCUAGCAAACCUUAGGCUGGUUGGACUAUAAGAAUAGGCUCGUGAGAGACGAAGUCUAGUUGAGUUUGUUGUUAGCGAAAGUAUUUUGAUUGGAUAAUUUAUAAACUCCGAAUGGUAGGAGUUUGAUCGGAAUGUGCAAUUACUAACUUUGCAGAGGGCCACGUUGGCGGCCGACAACGUGACAUCGGAAGUUAGUAUAUGUUAUAUUUCAUUACUUUCGCU
This 489-nucleotide long non-coding RNA is filed under the name Ananas comosus (pineapple). Its description in RNAcentral is "long non-coding RNA (ACOM_LNC012344)". Lineage: Eukaryota; Viridiplantae; Streptophyta; Magnoliopsida; Poales; Bromeliaceae. The record is from RNAcentral.